Long non-coding RNA from Brienomyrus brachyistius, 801 nucleotides. RefSeq lists it as uncharacterized. NCBI's taxonomy places the organism in Eukaryota, Metazoa, Chordata, Actinopteri, Osteoglossiformes, Mormyridae. The record is from RefSeq and is a predicted model, not a curated record. The transcript has 2 exons.
UAAAAGCAGCGUUGGGAGAGACCUGCAGUCUCUCAGGGGACCGCAAGUGGCAUGAAGACGUGGGACAAUAAGGAGGCGUCAUUAAACCUGUAAUUAACACUUUCUCCCUGCGGAGUGCAGCCAGAAAGUGUGGAUCAGACGGAGAAAUGCUCUCUUUGUAAUAUCUUGAGCCCUGGACAGGAUAUCAUCAUAUACUGUAAGUUCGUUAUAGAGACACUACAGUAUAGAUGAUGUACUAUCCAGGGUGUCAGUCAGCCGCCAGACUCAGGUCGACACGCAAAGACCCCCCCAGGGAUUCCGUCUGAGGGUGGCGAUUAAACCGUUACCAUUACUGAGUUUUAGUAAUGGUAAGGGUUCUACCGCUUCUCUUCACUGCCGUCUGCAGCUGAUAAAAGCCCCCCCAGGCAAGCAGUGACUUGCAAAACUGGAAAGUGUGGAGAAAAAGACUUCUGAAAAUUACGGACAAUCAAGAUUCGGUUGUGUAACCUUUAGUUUACAGUAAACAAAUAAAAACAUAAAACUCAGGAAAAAGAAGGAGACAAUUUUGUAAUUUUUUGGCAUUUAGUAAAGUGUUUAGAAUGGUGAUUAAGCUGUAUAAUUUAACUCAUAAUAUAAAUAUGAGUUUUGAGCUUUCUAAAAUAUAGCAUUUAAAAUAUAUUUUUAUGUAUUAUAUAUAUAUGUAUUUUAUAUUAUUUUAUUUAUAUUGUACAACACAACACGCAACAUUAAAAAAAGGAACAUUAAAUGAUGAAUGAGCAUAUGGUUUUGGAAACGUUUGGAAAUAAAAGAUUCCAUGUUCAA